CAAAUGAAGUAACCUAGCUAAAUUAUCAUCCCAGGGUCCAUUCCAAGUGGUCCCGUUGUCGCAGUUCGUCCCAUCUAUACCUACUAUUAAAGCACAAGCUGUAAAAAAAGAGAUUCCAUUUGCUUUGACGUGUUACCCAAUUUUCAACCUUGUUUUAUGGCUAACUAAUGGAAACCAUUGUAUGUGACUUUCAAACUCCAUCAGGGACAGGCUUCAGAGGGUACAAACACCAUAGCAUCUGCACGUGAAAUCCUAAGAAUACGGCUUUUGCGUUCAUACUAAGAUUGGCCUGUUCUAACAAGAAUGAAAGCCAUGGCCCGAUGGCUGGACAGCAAAUUCUUGGGCGUACUGGAACAACUUUCAGUAACAAGCUUUCUGAAACAACCUCCAUCCUAGGCAACCUAGCACUUGGCCAGAAGUUGAGUAAAUUCAUUGGGGCUAGUUUUGCCUAAAUUUAUGGGCAUGUCGAUGGCUCUUGCCCACAUGAGCCACCACUUGGGCCGUAAAUUGGGGUCGCCCCGCCGCGCGCGUGUCCCAUAAAUCAUGGAUGUAGAGGGUGCCAUUCGCCGCACCCGCCAAGGCAUAUCUGGAUUCACACGUGUCCACGUCCAAAUCCGUGAUCCCACUGCUAUGGACCGACACUUGCAGGGUGCGGCACGAACUCAGAGACAAACACGUCAGGCGAUGAUGGAUCAAGUAUUGCUCAUAAUUACACCUGGACACGAAGCCAGCUU
Long non-coding RNA from Tigriopus californicus, 734 nucleotides. RefSeq lists it as uncharacterized. Lineage: Eukaryota; Metazoa; Arthropoda; Copepoda; Harpacticoida; Harpacticidae. The record is from RefSeq and is a predicted model, not a curated record. The transcript is spliced from 2 exons.